Molecule: long non-coding RNA, 1062 nt
Organism: Pantherophis guttatus
Lineage: Eukaryota; Metazoa; Chordata; Lepidosauria; Squamata; Colubridae
Source: RefSeq, a predicted model, not a curated record
GGGUAGAAUACAGAUUUUGAUGUCCUCAUUAAGAAAUGGCAAAGAGAACAUUUCCCCCAGUGUCCCCAAUUAUUAACAGAAUGUUUUGAAUUUGCCUAUUCUUUGCACAUGGGAAACUACAUGGUCAUUAGACAGAUGUUGAAACUCACCAAUUUUAUAUCCGGCAGCUGGAGAAGACAAUGGAUGUCAUAUGAAAUAUAGCCAGGGAAGGAGUUCAUAAUCUGCACUAGUAAACUGAAAAUCAUGACUUGUGAUUGUUCACUGUCAUCCAAUAAAAGGCCACACCGCCGUGAUGUGGUAUUGUGUUAUUUGCAGGAUAAUCUAAGGUAUUUAAAAGCAGCCACGAUGGUGAUGGGAAGGUGUACCGUUUAAAGAUUGUCAACAUCAAGAUGUGGAAGGAGACAGUACGUUUAGCAACCAACCAUGAAAUCUUAUUCUGCAGUUGCCUUCUUAAUGGCAUCUCUUAAGCAGAAGGAAUCUUUGCUCAAUUAGAAGUGUUCCUGGAAUGGAAGGCAUGGCACACUCCCACAACCCUUGUCACUUUGCAAACAUACUACUGUAAGAUGCUCCACAAGGGGCGGCCCCUGAAAACUAACUGGAAACUUUACUUAAUACAGAAGGAAGCUCCUUGAGUACCACUGGGAUCUUUCUGAAGUUGUCAUAGAAUGCUAGUAGUUUGGCAUCUACAACAGCUGCUAGAUUGUCUCAGGGUACAAUCCAAGGAGCAAGUAAAUAAUUCACAUAAUCCUUCAUGGCUUGAGGAUGCGAUAGCUGCAGGACCACUUAUUCCAAGUAGAAGGGCUGGUGGGAAGGGACUUGGAUGCAAAUAUUAUCUGCCAAGCUCUUCUCCUGGAGAAAAUCAGCAUCCUUUUAUCUUCAAAAGCUCAUAUUUACGGUGUUCAAAUGUAUUUUUUAAAUCUACGUUUUGACCUCCAUGAACCAUUUCAAAUAAUCGGUGGAAGCUUUCAUUCAAAUUUCCAAUUAUCCAUUUAAAAAUUCUUUUUUCCCCAGCUCUGAUGUCACAUGUAUUUCUUUUAUCUUUAAGAUUAAAGCCUUCAUAAU